CCACGCACACGUGCAGUAGCACGAGGCUCCCCAUCCUUCCCCCUACCCACACCCACACACACACGCACACACACCUUCAUCAUAGCCCGCACCUUUCGCCGUUUCGCCCGCUCUCUCCUUUCCGUGCGUGUGUGCCUCAGUCUGUUGCUCCGCCCGUCUCCCUUCUCCCCACUGUUCACUGGCCCACCCGUGCACGCACUGGCACACAACGCGUACUUCUUUAUUGAUGAAUAUGCGCUGCCGAGAAAUACUGAUUGCCGUGCUCGCGGUGACCUGCGUGGCACUGUCACCGGCUGUGGCCUACACCACCAGCCAAUGCCGCGAAGUGUCGCGGUGCGACGUUGACGGCACCCUCGUGUACGCCUUCUCUGGCGAGUGCGUAUGCUGUCCGGAGAUGCCGACCGGCGAUAUCCUUCCAGUGCAGUGCGUUCCCUCGACCGCGCACUGCCCUAGCGUGCCCAGCUGCAGAGCGUGCGACACCACCGCCGGGAUGUGUGACGCGUGUAUGACCGGCUACGUACUCGAGCCUACCAACAUCUGCAACGAGUGCUUGGCCUCGAUGUGCGACGUCUGUCAGUCGAGCUCCGAAGGCAAGCGCUGCAAGCUGUGCUCAGUAGGCUAUUACUGGGUGAGUGGCGGUGAGUGCCACGCCGUAUCCAAUAGCCAGGCCUCAGAAAGCAACAUGCAAUGCCGCGUCGCUUUCUGCAGCACUUGUGCCAGCCCUACCGCAAGCACCUGCGCCAAGUGCAACGACGGUUAUGCAACGGAUAGCAACGGGUUCUGUGUCAGCGACUGCAACGUCCAGCAGUGCGAUAUGUGCUACACGGGUAACUCCGCCGACUGCCAGUUGUGCUCUGCAGGGAACACGUGGAGUGCGACAGGCUGCUCAGCUGGUGCAAGCGGUUGUCGUGUCGGCCAUUGCACCACCUGUGUGGCCGGCGACAACACCAACUGCGCUACAUGCGAAUCGGGAUACACCCUCACCGCCGGCUACUGCUUGCCCCAGCAACUCUGCGCCGACGCCAACUGCGCCAGCUGCCCCAGCGACGCGGGCACGUGCACUCAGUGCGCGAACGGCUACGGUCUCGUGGACGGCGCCUGUGUGAGGUGCCAGGUGCCCAACUGCUUCAGCUGCGACAGCGACGCGAAUAAGUGCACACAAUGUGCGCCGAACUACUACCUCACCCCGCUCUUGACCUGCUCCCCGGUGGCCUGCAACAUCGAGCACUGCAUGCAGUGCGAUCCACAGACGCCGUCGCGCUGCCAGGAGUGCGUGGCCCCCUACGUGGUCGACAGCUAUGACGGCCUCUGCAGGCUCUCCGACGCCUGCUCCGUGCCCAACUGCAAGAAGUGCGAGCCCGAAACCUCCAGGCUCUGCGCCGAGUGCGACACCGGCUACACUCUCACCGCCGACGCGACGAGCUGCAGCAGUCCGACCACGCAGCCGUGCGAUGUGGAGCACUGCAACACGUGUGUGAACGGCGACAGCACCCGCUGUGCCUACUGCAACACCGGCUACUACGUCUCCGAUGGCAAGUGCAAGACCAUGCAGGGCUGCUACGUGUCCAACUGCGCACAGUGCAUGCUGCUUGACAGCACCAAGUGCUCCACGUGCAUGAAAGGAUACCUGCUCACGUCGUCCUACGGUUGCGUCUCGCAGAAAGUCAUCAACGGCGCGGCCGCGCCCUACUCUCUGUGGGUGGCCGCCGCCGUGCUCCUCGCCUCUGUUGUCACGCACAUAGCAUAGUGCGCAGCAGCAUGCGAGCAACCCCACUCCCAUUCUCCCACAACAUGUGCACACACACAGAGACAGCGGGGCAGCCCUCCCCCCCCCACACACACACGCACUCCCCCUUCUCUUGUUCUUCUUUCCUCGUUUCGCAUCUCUUUCUCGUGCGCUGGCGCCGGCCUCCUGCACGUCGCUCCCCUCCCCCUAACCUCUAUUCUCUCUCGCCGGCCUCAUUGCUUCUUACCCUUUUCCGAUCCUUGCUCGCGUGGGUGGCCACUGCCACAGUCCCGCAGCGCAGACACACGUGUUUACACGGCGGAGGCAUCUCUCUCCAUCACUUCUU
Molecule: unclassified non-coding RNA, 2072 nt
Filed under: Leishmania donovani
Lineage: Eukaryota; Euglenozoa; Kinetoplastea; Trypanosomatida; Trypanosomatidae
Description: gene:LdHU3.04.0240(CDS-product:surface_antigen-li ke_protein)
Source: RNAcentral